This is an RNA transcript of Gymnogyps californianus (California condor), 3756 nucleotides long. It is a transcript of the gene named elongation factor for RNA polymerase II, with no coding region annotated. The record is from RefSeq and is a predicted model, not a curated record. NCBI's taxonomy places the organism in Eukaryota, Metazoa, Chordata, Aves, Accipitriformes, Cathartidae. The transcript is spliced from 13 exons.
AUGGCGGCGCUGCAGGCGGAGCGCGGGUACGGGCUGUCCUGCGGUCGCCUCGGCCGCGGCACCCGCGUCUCCGUCUUCCACGUCAAGCUCACGGAGAGCGCCCUGCGCGCCUUCGAGAGCUACCAGGCCUGUAAGGAUGCUGUGACAUCAAAACCAGUAAUCCAGUUUCAAGGAAGCCAAGGGCACAUCGCAAUUCCAAGGCCUGAUCGACCUACGGAAGUGCGGACUUUCACAUUUUAUCUUUCAAAUAUUGGCAAGGACAGCCCCCAAGGGAGUUUUGACUGUAUCCAGCAGUAUGUAUCUAGCAAUGGCAAUAUCCAUUUGGAUUGCCUUGGAAGCAUACAGGAUAAAAUCACCGUGUGUGCUACUGAUGAUUCCUACCAGAAGGCAAGGCAAAGCAUGGCACAGGCAGAGGAGGAGACUCGCAGCCGGAGCGCUAUAGUCAUUAAACCUGGGGGGAGAUACGUAGGCAAAAAGGUUCAGGUGCGUAAACCUGCACCAGGAGCUUCCGAUGCUGUUCCGUCCAGGAAGCGCCCAACGCCAGUCAACCUUGCCAGUGCAAUAAAGAGAGGCAAUAGUGCGAUUUCUCAGAGACCCUUCAAAGAUAGGGUUGUGCAUUUACUGGCACUAAAGCCUUAUAAGAAACCUGAACUUAUUCUCAGAUUGCAGAAGGAUGGACUUUCUCAGCAGGACAAGGAUUUGCUGGACAACCUUCUGCAACAGGUGGCAAAUUUGAGUGCCAAGGACAGCACUUUCACACUGAAAGAUUGUGUAUACAAAGAAGUACAGAAAGACUGGCCUGGCUACUCUGAAGGAGAUCAGCAGUUGCUGAAGAGGAUACUUGUUCGGAAACUCUGUCAGCCACAGAACAGUAGCGGUUUUCAAGGAGAAGCGCCUUCCCUGAGUCCACCAAAAGACAAUGUGAACUCCAGCUCUCCUCCUCAGAAACGAUCCCAGCCUCUGGAGUUUAUCGAUCCCCUGGCCAACAAAAAGCCCAGGAUCUCGCAUUUGGCUCACAGAACUCAGCCCACUUUCAACGGGAAACUGAAUUCCUCCAACGGGAAGGACGCUCCUGCCCCUGCCCUGCCGCCAGCUCUCCCGGAGUCGGUGAGCUCCAGCUCCAGCCUGCCGGUGCUGGAGCUGCCGAGGCCUCACGAUCCCCUUUCGGAUGUCAGCAAUGACCUGACUCACAACGGCAGAGACUGUGAGAACCCAGAGACGGCUGACAGACUGACUCAUCCUUUGUCAACAGACUGUCCCCAAACGAGCAAGCACAAUUGCAGCUCGUAUGUAAAAACCAAGAAAAAAUCCAAAAAGCACAAAGACAAGGAAAAGGAGAGAAAGGAGAAGAAAAAUGAAGAGAAAUGCAAAGAGGAGAAGCAGGACUGUGAAGUAAUAAAAAAUGCUGACUUAGUUAGUGUUCCCCAGGAACAGGUCACAGGUUUAAAUGGAACAUGCAAUAAUUCUAGUGUACCAACAUCAACUUCAGAAAUGCCAGAUUAUUUAUUAAAAUACGCAGCCAUUUCCUCUUCGGAGCAGCGUCAGAGUUACAAAAAUGACUUCAAUGCAGAAUACAACGAGUACAGAGACUUGCACGCCCGGAUAGAGAGGAUAACUCGACGGUUUACGCAGUUAGACGCCAAGCUGAAGCAGCUUUUGCAGGGCUCUGAAGAAUAUAAGACCAUCCAUGAUCAAAUUUUACAGGAAUAUCGGAAAAUUAAAAAGACUAACCCCAAUUACAGCCAAGAGAAGAACCGCUGCGAAUACCUCCACAACAAACUGGCUCAUAUUAAAAAACUGAUAGCAGAGUAUGACCAACAGCAGUUUUAGCUGGCACUAAUCUGGACUGGGUAGGGCAAAAAAAGUCACCUGGACGUUACGUUCCCUUUUAUACAACUAGAUUCCUUUCAGAGACGAGCAUUAAUUCAUCGUGGUUGAAGAACUUGGGGAUUACUUACGAUGCCGAAUCUGUCGUGUCCACGUCUGAGCCGGGUCGCAAGCCCAGCGCCCGGCACGGUCCUCUCGAGUUUUAGCCGCUCUGAAUGUCGGAAUGUAACAAAUGAAAAAAUCUGCUUAUUUGAAGCCAGCGUUUGACACUUAAGGGAAAACUUGCCUAAAGUGAACGAAGCUCCCAAAGGUUAAGAAUCAGUAGUUUUCAUGGAUUAAAGUUUGGCAUGAAGUGUAAUUACCCCUGGCCCAGGUCCACUGGGUUACAAAUUGCCCUUCAAAUGGUGAGGAACUGGAAUGCUGCUAGGUUACCUCCUUCUCUGGCACCUGCGACUGUUCAUAUGCAAGCUGUCUGCUCUACAUGGCACCGCGUUAAAUACACCAAGUACCCAGAGCUCUCGUUGUUUGUUCCUGCUUUUGUCAUCUCCGCCUGUGUGAUUUGACUUCUUCCCGCUUCCGUUUAUCUCAAAGUAAAGGAUUACUUUCCUGUGGCGUCUCCUUCCCUUGGAGGUUGCACUGAAGAGUCUUUCACCCUUUGAAGGAGCGGAAUGGCAGAGUUAAGGAGGGAAACAGUUCUUACACAAGGAGUAUUUUAUUCUUUUCCGCCCCCCCCAAAAAAAAGUGGGUCCAUCUGCUGUAUAAAAAAAACAAAAAGAAGAAAAAAUAAUAAUAAUUCCAUUCUGGCUAGAUUGGUUUUGCUGCGUCGUCGGCCAGGGCCACCGCUUUGCUUUGUCACUUGCAAUGUUCUGAGUUUCUCUCCCUGCCGCGUUGCAUCCAGCGCUCACCAGGACUUUGCCAUCCCGUUCUUCAAACGAAAGCCUGCGGCUGAAGGGAUGCGGCUGAGCUGCACGUUGCUGACCCGGCAGCCCUCCGGCCGUGGUCCACGGACUGCCACUGGACAGCCACGUUUUUCUGCUGGUCUGCAAAACCCAAACCUGUUCAGAAGCGGAGCGGUGAAGGAGUUGGGGGGGAAGAGAUGUGAUGUCCAAGCAGCGCGGUGGUCCAUAGGGUGAGCACCCCGGAGAGCCUCGCUAGGGAAGUCCCAACGAGCAUCUCGGGGCCUGGGGAACACUUUGGUCCCAUCUCUUCCUCUCCAGAUAAAGACGACUGGAGGUUAGGGAGCCAUUUCUCUUGUGGGCAUACCUGUUUGUGUAACGCUGCCCGCCUCCGAUGCUUCUGCUCAUCAGGGAAAGCUGGAAAAUACACGAGAGUUAAAGGCGAGGAGCUUUUGUCCAGAAAACUUUGUCCUCCUGCUCGGUGGGGUCUUGCACCUGGUUGGUGCAUGAGUUUCUUAAGCAGUAAGCGGCGGCUGGUGGCAAUGUCCGAGCAGUGUCCAAGCUCAAGCCUCGCGUGGGCUCUGAUUCCAAGAAACCUCCCGGAGCUGCGAGUUUGUGCACCCAGGUGGAUUUCACCGGAGCCGCAGGGAUCUGGGAGGGGGCGUUAGGCUGCGUGGAGGAACCGGGAUGCCACGCUUUCUCGGACCCGCUGUGAGAUUUGUCACUGCAAAACCUGGUCGGUGCCAGACCCGCGAGCGGCAUCGCCAGCCGGCGGUUACAGAUUCGGUGUUCCCGGUGGCAAGGCUGCAUUUCCCAGCACCCACCCACCCACCCAUCGCAUCCACCCGGCAGCGCGCCGAGCCACGGGGGCUUGGUGGGACUUCAUCUCCGACUGCGGUGCGCGAGGAGCCCGAAACUCAGGCGGCAGAAGAGGCAGCAGCUACAAACCCAGGAUGAGUAAUUUCUUCCAUGGAAACACUUCUCCUUCUGAUCCUUAAUAUUUUGAAUGGGAUUUUUUUGUUGCUUUGGGGGG